GGAGCAGGUUGGAAUUCACUUCAGGCAGGCUGGGAGUCAGUGAACGACAGCAGGAAAACCCAUUCUGAAGGAAGAUGGAAGAAGGGUGAACUUCUAGAGGCUGCCAGUGAGGUGUGUAGCAUGAGAGCCUUGGACAGAAUGAGGUGGGGAGAGGAACAGGAGUGGGAGAAAACCAAAGCAAGAACUGGGAUGGGAAGACAGAGGGCCAGAAGAUCAUUGGUGAGCAACUCCAUUGCCUUCCUAUUUCUAUUCAGCAGGGACUGAUUGUGUAUUUCAAGUUCAGAUAUUUGAAAGGCAUUCCUUUACCUUCUGCAGUCUAUUUGAAGAGAAAAUUGCCUGUUUUGAGUUGGCUUUGUUCAAUGCAAUUCACUCAUCAAAUACUGAGUACCUACUACAUGCCUGGCACUGUUCUGGUUACUUUUGUCCUACUGUCAUAUAAUUUGGAACUUUUGGAGAUUUCCUUUCCAAUUUCCACCUUUGACAAAUAGUCCCAUUUAUGAUGAAGGAUUUGAAGGCUAAUGUGAUGAAGUGAAGCCGGUAUAAACAGUGUGGCUUUUAACAGAUACUUAAAAUCCCUAAACACUAGCUUCCUCAUCUGUAAAAUGGAUGAAUAAAGUAUAAAGUGCUGCAAAAGGCUGACAUGAGGGUUAACUGGGCUCAUCCUGUAAGGUGAGCAUGGUCUCUAACACAUUUUAUACCUCCAGUAAGUGUUGCUCUCACUGUAACUGACAAAUCCUGGACUGGGCUACGCCUCAAAUCCAGCAUGGCACGUGCCCAUGGUUGCCAAAUAUGUGACCACAAGUCUCUUUUCUCUUGUCAAUUUAAAAACAAACUUUUUCGUGAGGUAUAAAAGUGAAAGAAAAUUGCUCGGUAAUAAUCAGCAGUGUGAUGAUAUUUUUCACAAAAUGAAAACCCUGGUUUGAGAGUGUGUGUUAAGUACAUGCAUGGGGUGUGUCUGGAAAAAAAAUAUGCACAGUCAUUUUAGGAGGUCAACAAGGUCUUAAACUGAAAAAUAAGGAAUAAUGAACGUGUGCCAUUUAGACAUAAGGAAGUAAAUAACAUGAUACUGUGAAAGUGUUAAAAUAUUUAAGUUACAAGUAGUGCCUCCCAAGAGUGAGAAUUGGGUAUAUGGGAGAGGGUGGUGGUGGUGGGUGGCACAGUAUCUUACCUUUUUCAUGAUUUAUGUAUUUGACUUUUAAAAAUAUAGAUGUUCUGCAUAUUGCAAUCUGAAAAAUAAAUUAUGAUAAUCAACAUCUGUAAUCUGUCCUCCCCUACUUCAAAGCCUUUGUCAUCAUUUCAAAUUUCAACCAGGUUUCCCUUGUUUCAAGUACCUUGAGUUUUAGUACUGUCUUAAUGAUGUUCUCUUAAGUUAUGUCUCUACUAUUCAGGUCUUAUUUAUAUGUUAUGUCAAACUUUUUAGCCUCAUUUUAUUUCCUCACUAUACAUUAUUAGACUGGUGUCUUAACCCACAUUAUCUAGUAUCCCAUGUUACACUUCUGUCACUAAUUAUGAUGUAUGUUUUUUCCAACAUAUCACUAAGCAAUUCUUUUGACACUAGAUGGAUGGUCCUAAAUUAAACUCAAUUCAGACACUACUUGGAGAGAGCGUCAGGUCCCACAGGUUAAGGGCUCAGUUCUGUACCACCACCCAUCUCCUCUCAUUUCAGACAUCGGUUGAAAGUUCAGGUUGUCACAGGUGUUUCUGACCGACGGAAUAUAGAUUAUAGGGGUUCCAACAAUCUAUUCCUUGGGAUUAACUAAUUGUUUUAUGUUAGAAAAAACCUAGGAAUAGCCAGAUGGAAGAGAUGUAUAGUGCAAGGUAUGGGGGGAAAGGGCACAAAGCUUCCAUGCCUUCUCUGGUCUGAGCUGUUCUCCCCAGAUUUCCACGUGUUCACCAACCUGGAAGUUCUCUGAACCCUGUCCUUUGGGGUUUUUACAGAGACUCCAUUACUUUGGCACUGUUGAUUAAACCACUGGCCAUUGGUGACUGAUUCAACUCUCAGCCUCAUUCUCCACUGUGGGGACAGUGAAAGUUCCCUCCAAUUACAUGGUUGGCUUCAUAUCCUUCGGUGCUUUCCAAAAGUCACCUCACAAAAAGCUUAGGUGUGGUUGAAAGAAGUUUGUUUUGAGUACCAACACAACUUUUUCUCUCUUAUCACUUAGGAAAUUCUGUGUGCCAGACUGGGAAGAAGACCAGAUACAUAUUUAUAAAUCACAAUAUCACACAUCUUCCUGUUUCCUGGAUAUUUGACUCCUUUUUAGAAUAGAUUUUCGAGUAAUUCUCUUAGAAACAAUUUGCUGAGUGCUAAACUGAAUUUUUAAUUAUUUGCUCAUGCAAAAAUUCAAGUCAAAUACUAACUGCUGUGUGAAAUUCUUAAGCGAAAUUAUUUCAAAGAAAUGAAGUAACCAGCAGGUCUUUUGCCCUUGAUACACAUAUACUGUAUUUUAUAUUUUAUAGUAUAUUACAUUAAGUUGACCUGAUUUUCCAACUACAAGGCUAUGAAAUGACCUGGCAGCCAAGGAUUCAGCGUAGUUUGUGUCCAACACUUAGCUGGUCCUCAAUGCUUACUAUUUUCUUAAAUAAUGAAGGGAUAGGGGAGCACAGAAGGAUAAAGCAUCUUUAUUUUAGCAGUUGGGGAAAGACUGAAGACAAUGAAAAAUUCCUGCUAACUCUUUAAGAUAGGCCAAAAUGCAGAGGUGGCUUUUUGUUUUUGUUACAGGAUUUGUUGGGCAAAGAGAAAAUAAGAUUCCAAAUAGGAAAAUGGCAACAUAUGCCAAGAUACAGCUGUGAGGAUGCAUAAUUUGCUUGGAGGACCUGGGUGAGAGCGGCAGGAUAUUAGGGGCUGACAAUGUCAAGAUCAGCCAUUUUAGGGAGUUUCUGUGAUGUCUUACGGAAUGUGAGGGAACGUUAAGUUUUACCCUCUAUGGAAUACCUAUGUCCUGAUAGCUAAAACAAAAAAUUGGUUGUGACCAGUAAUUUUUAAAACAUUUUCUACAAAAACCAAGGAACUCUCCUUCCCUUCCCUGUCCCAUGCCUGCACACCAGUUUUCAGUAGAUCUACAACUUUAUAAAGUUAAAAGUAGAUGUUCUAACUAUAAUUAGGAUGAGGAAUCUGGAUCCUAAGCUAUUUAUUCUAUACCUUUGCUUCUCCUUUUUCCUCUAUACUGUGGCAACUGAUGAAGUCAUACGCUGUGCAGAAAACACAAGAAAAAUUACAAGACAAGUGGCUUUCAACUAGAGGGUAUCUGAAGAAACAUUAUGGAAAUUGUACAUUUAGCAAAAUGGCCAUCAGUUUCUCAACUUCUGAAUGCAGCAUCACUUUAGAUAUGGUGACACUUACUAUUUGUGACGUUUAACACCAAAAUUUCUAUGGCAUGUAUAUUGGGGCUAAAGGUGAGGGUGGGGCACAGUACUGAGGAAAGGGUUGUUGGGGUUGAAAUACUGGGCUAGCUGGUCUCCAAGCUUCCCUCCUGACCCUUACCCUAAAAUGCAGAGUGGCCUAGGUAUUCAUGUUACUAAACUUUCUAAAUAUGACUCUACUAAUGUCCACAGAUAGACAGACUGGACCUGAAGAAUAAGAUGCUACAAACAUGCCAAUAACUUAAUAGUUUAUUAGUCAGUCAACAAUAUUACAAAUAUUUAAAAAUUACUUAAUAUAAAUAGUUGGCAGCAAACUAUUCCAUUACAGAGUUAAAUUACCAGUACAACAGACAGACUGGAGAUUUAGACAUCUGGAAGAUAACAAUAAAAUAAACUAAAAUAUUUUAACAAAAAAAUUUAAGCUGAAGGCGUUUACCUAGUGUC
Molecule: long non-coding RNA, 3804 nt
Organism: Manis pentadactyla (Chinese pangolin)
Lineage: Eukaryota; Metazoa; Chordata; Mammalia; Pholidota; Manidae
Exons: 2
Source: RefSeq, a predicted model, not a curated record